RNAcentral lists this unclassified non-coding RNA (329 nucleotides) under soil metagenome. RNAcentral's name for it is "partial contains 5.8S ribosomal RNA, internal transcribed spacer 2, and large subunit ribosomal RNA". The stretch from base 1 to 120 matches the Rfam family "5.8S ribosomal RNA", at positions 35 to 154 of the family's 154-position model. The record is from RNAcentral.
GAUGAAGAACGUAGCGAAAUGCGAUAAGUAAUGUGAAUUGCAGAAUUCAGUGAAUCAUCGAAUCUUUGAACGCACAUUGCGCCCCCUGGUAUUCCGGGGGGCAUGCCUGUCCGAGCGUCAAUACAACCCUCAAGCUCAGCUUGGUGUUGGGCCCCGCCGCCCCGGCGGGCCCUAAAGUCAGUGGCGGUGCCGUCCGGCUCCGAGCGUAGUAAUUCUUCUCGCUCUGGAGGUCCGGUCGUGUGCUCGCCAGCAACCCCCAAUUUUUUUCAGGUUGACCUCGGAUCAGGUAGGGAUACCCGCUGAACUUAAGCAUAUCAAUAAGCGGAGGA